UGGGGAAUCUUCCGCAAUGGACGAAAGUCUGACGGAGCAACGCCGCGUGAGUGAUGAAGGUCUUCGGAUUGUAAAGCUCUGUUAAUCGGGACGAAAGAGCCUAGUGUGAAUAAUGCUAGGAAGUGACGGUACCGGAAUAGAAAGCCACGGCCAACUACGUGCCAGCAGCCGCGGUAAUACGUAGGUGGCAAGCGUUGUCCGGAAUUAUUGGGCGUAAAGCGCGCGCAGGCGGAUCUGCCAGUCUGUCUUAAAAGUUCGGGGCUUAGCCCCGUGAUGGGAUGGAAACUACAGAUCUAGAGUAUCGGAGAGGAAAGUGGAAUUCCUAGUGUAGCGGUGAAAUGCGUAGAUAUUAGGAAGAACACCGGUGGCGAAGGCGACUUUCUGGACGAAAACUGACGCUGAGGCGCGAAAGCCAGGGGAGCGAACG
This 427-nucleotide ribosomal RNA is filed under the name uncultured bacterium. Its description in RNAcentral is "bacterial SSU rRNA". It matches the Rfam family "Bacterial small subunit ribosomal RNA", at positions 355 to 774 of the family's 1533-position model. The record is from RNAcentral.